RNAcentral lists this long non-coding RNA (1111 nucleotides) under Coturnix japonica (Japanese quail). RNAcentral's name for it is "lncRNA (ENSCJPG00005003269.1)". Lineage: Eukaryota; Metazoa; Chordata; Aves; Galliformes; Phasianidae. The record is from RNAcentral.
AUCCACAGCUUGCAAAAUUAGGAUAAGACGUGGCUAUAUAGAGCUAUAUUGUUCCUGCUUCUAAAAGAGACUACUUCAGUUAAUGCCUCAGAGGGCAACUUUCCUCAAAGGAAAAAAGUUGCCAUAAAUUCUACCAAUUAGGGAACUGCAGUGCCUUCCCCUUGAGUGCUGGAUAAUUGGACAGGUGAAAACAGUAUGGUGCCAUCAAAUGAAGGCACAUCUGAGUCAUCCUGAGCUUUUGUUCACCAGCUUGCAUAGGACUGUAUCAUAACAUAACUGCCUUAAAGAUUGGCUCACUUUUCAGUAAUCCUGCAUUUGUUGAUGGGGAAAAGAAUCUCUGUUGGGGAAGAUGCUGCAUCCUACAGCUACUGAACUGAAAUAAAUAAGGUAACUAGAGAACUUAAGGUUACUGAGUGAGAUUGUUUAUUUUCUGAAGAUUAAGGUUACAUAUCAUCUCCUUAGUCAUAGUUCGUGGGUUCUCUCUCUUUUAUCUCAGGUCCUGCAAGUUAUGAUAGCUGAGAAAUAAAUGUGCAGCAAACCUAUGGGAAUCUCCUAAAAUCUUGACAUUAAAUUAUAGUGGAAAAAUCCUUGCAUGCACAACCUUUGCAUGUCUUGUCUAGGCAAGUACACAUUUUGGAUGGGAGCUGAUCAAAGCCACUACUUAUAAAGAAUGGAUAGAGGAGUACUGUGGGUAUCUGUGCAUGCAACUGUUUGCUAGAGUAAGUGGUUUUGAUUUUUUUUUUUCUUUCUAAGCAGUCUUGCAUCUUUUCAGCACUGCCGUGUUGAGGCUCUUUGAGGAAGUCGAACUCUCUGGCAGCUUCAGGGGCAUGAGGCCAGCUGAGUUUCAGAUCCCUUCAGAGCUACAUUUGGGAUGGAGUUUGUGGCAUUUCUGCAAGUCAGAACAGACAGUUAAUCAGCUAAUUUCAAAUAACUUUGCGCAUCAUCACUGGCCAUUGACCAUCUUAAGCAGAGCUCAGAGAUGACAGAAUCACACAAAAUUUCCAUUUUGUAACUUAUGCUUGAGACCUGAAAUCCACCAUGAUCUCCUUCUAUUUCUCUUCCAAAGCUUGCAGAAAGACUGUCAAGCAAUAAAAGACUAAGAGACUGAUCA